This 216-nucleotide long non-coding RNA is filed under the name Elaeis guineensis (African oil palm). RNAcentral describes it as "long non-coding RNA (EGUI_LNC059466)". The record is from RNAcentral. Lineage: Eukaryota; Viridiplantae; Streptophyta; Magnoliopsida; Arecales; Arecaceae.
AGCCCGAUUCACCUAAGCUGACUAAUUGAAAUCAAUAAAUCAUUUGAUGUUUAAGGCAAGUCUCGAUCGAUGGUUUUUAAUUAGAAGGCUGCUCAUCUAGAUAAUUUUGCUUAUGACGAGCUAAUGGCGUACCCUCUCAUCGAUCUUACUUGUCUGGCCAAUUGGAUGAUUGGGUUCAUUAGUUGCUAAGGUGCUUUGGUUUAGCCUAUACCAGCU